UGACCAACCGUCCUGGUUUGCCUGGGACUGAGGAGGAUCCUGGGAUGUGGGAUUUCAGGGUUA
This 63-nucleotide microRNA precursor is filed under the name Myotis lucifugus (little brown bat). RNAcentral's name for it is "miRNA (ENSMLUG00000021250.1)". Lineage: Eukaryota; Metazoa; Chordata; Mammalia; Chiroptera; Vespertilionidae. The record is from RNAcentral.